CCUACGGGAGGCAGCAGUGGGGAGUAUUGCACAAUGGGGGAAACCCUGAUGCAGCGACGUCGCGUGAGUGAUGAAGUAUUUCGGUAUGUAAAGCUCUAUCAGCAGGGAAGAAAAUGACGGUACCUGACUAAGAAGCCCCGGCCAACUACGUGCCAGAAGCCGCGGUAAUACGUAGGGGGCAAGCGUUAACCGGAUUUACUGGGUGUAAAGGGAGCGUAGACGGCGGUGCAAGCCAGAUGUGAAAGCCCGGGGCUCAACCCCGGGACUGCAUUUGGAACUGGGCUGCUAGAGUGUCGGAGAGGCAGGCGGAAUUCCUGGUGUAGCGGUGAAAUGCGUAGAUAUUAGGAGGAACACCAGUGGCGAAGGCGGCCUGCUGGACGAUGACUGACGUUGAGGCUCGAAAGCGUGGGGAGCAAACAGGAUUAGAUACCCGUGUAGUC
RNAcentral lists this ribosomal RNA (440 nucleotides) under uncultured bacterium. RNAcentral's name for it is "partial 16S ribosomal RNA". It matches the Rfam family "Bacterial small subunit ribosomal RNA", at positions 338 to 795 of the family's 1533-position model. The record is from RNAcentral.